This is a long non-coding RNA of Cygnus atratus (black swan), 1106 nucleotides long. RefSeq lists it as uncharacterized. The transcript is spliced from 4 exons. Lineage: Eukaryota; Metazoa; Chordata; Aves; Anseriformes; Anatidae. The record is from RefSeq and is a predicted model, not a curated record.
AAGACUUGCAUGCAGCCAACAGCUAGUGCAAAGUAAGGUUUCCACAGUAAAAACAGUGACCUUCAGACUGCCUAUCUUUGAAAAUCGCCUUGGAUGGAGAACUACGUACAUUUGAGCUUCUGUGCUGAUGUGUGCAAAGGAUGGCACGUUGAAAAGCCCUUGAAUGAGCUCCGGGGGUGUGCUGACCCCCAGCCACAGGAACAUGCUCAGACCGUUGGCCAGAAUGAAGGUGCCUCCUUCUGAGAGACAUUCCUCAGAGCAGCGGACGGCAGCUGGAACAGCAUCACUCUUCAGAUCCAGGCUGUGCUGUGGGACAAAAGUCAGAGUUGCAAACCUGGUGAUUUUAAGCACCACAAUCAAAAAAGAAUCUCAUCAUCUUGUCUACAGCUACAAACCGAAGUCUGCAGGGCAAACACCAACUGCAGUUGACUGCAGUCAGACGUGCACUGGAUCUGCCACAUGUCUCUGUCACAGGGAAGCCAGCUUCCCUGGUGCUUCCGCAGUUGGCAAUGAAGAAUGGAAGAUAAACAAUUUUCCAGCACAUUCUGCAGCCUGUUGCAAAGACACCAUAUUGACAUUUAUUCUAUUACUCAGAUAAACAAGCCUAAUUUUCAUUCAUAUGCUGUGGUGUCUCUAAGAACAGUGCAAACUUUCUGCAAAAGUUCUUCAGAGCCAAACCAUUUAUUUAGUCUUUACACUUGAUGGAAGUGAAGUCCCAAAACAAACUGGGAAUUUUGUGUCAGUAAAUAACUUAGUCUAACAUAGAUCCUUUGGAUAUUGUACCGGUACAGUAAUUCCUACAUGGGACGCUAAAAUCUUGGUAGGCAAAACUAGAAGUACCUCUCCUAGAGACAUUUCAGUUAGAUACAAGCAUUAUGCAACAAGAAUAAAAGGUAGAAACACUAAACAGGAUAAAAUUAAAAGGAAAGGUAAUUUAACAGAAAAUACUGCUCCUUCAGUUUGGGUGCACUGUUAUCCAUUGUAUUUUUAGAGAAGAACGACAAUUACAUUACUGGACUAGAUUCCACAUUCAAACUACACUAAAAUGCAAAGCAUCAAAACUUGUGAUUAACUCCUGUCACUAAGAAAUAAAGUAAAUGCUGGUU